GAUGAACGCUGGCUACAGGCUUAACACAUGCAAGUCGAGGGGAAACGACGGGGAAGCUUGCUUCCCCGGGCGUCGACCGGCGCACGGGUGAGUAACGCGUAUCCAACCUGCCUCUGACUGAGGGAUAACCCGUCGAAAGUCGGCCUAAUACCUCAUGGUAUCGUCUGCGGGCAUCCAACGACGAUUAAAGAUUUCAUCGGUCAGGGAUGGGGAUGCGUCUGAUUAGCUUGUUGGCGGGGUAACGGCCCACCAAGGCUACGAUCAGUAGGGGUUCUGAGAGGAAGGUCCCCCACAUUGGAACUGAGACACGGUCCAAACUCCUACGGGAGGCAGCAGUGAGGAAUAGUGGUCAAUGGGCGAGAGCCUGAACCAGCCAAGUAGCGUGCAGGAAGACGGCCCUAUGGGUGGUAAACUGCUUUUAUGCGGGGAUAAAGUGAGGGACGGGUCCCUCAUUGCAGGUACCGCAUGAAUAAGGACCGGCUAAUUCCGUG
This 491-nucleotide ribosomal RNA is filed under the name uncultured bacterium. Its description in RNAcentral is "partial 16S ribosomal RNA". It matches the Rfam family "Bacterial small subunit ribosomal RNA", at positions 28 to 507 of the family's 1533-position model. The record is from RNAcentral.